Molecule: RNA transcript, 2262 nt
Organism: Oreochromis niloticus (Nile tilapia)
Lineage: Eukaryota; Metazoa; Chordata; Actinopteri; Cichliformes; Cichlidae
Exons: 3
Source: RefSeq, a predicted model, not a curated record
AAUGAGACAUCUGGAAAGAAUAACCGCACACCAGCAGACGACAUGGUGUACAUUGAGAGAGCAGAGGAGAAUCUGAAGCAGAAAGGAGUGGUACGAAGACAGUUCCCAGUGAAGCUGGCCUUUGCAUGUACAAUACAUAAGGUACAGGGAAUGACAACCACAUCAGCUGUUGUCUCUCUUAAGAGCAUUUUUGAGCCCGGCAUGGCCUACGUAGCUGUCAGUAGAGUGACGUCUCUCAAUGGACUCUAUCUUCUUGAUAUGGAGGAGAAAAAAAUAUUCACCAAUCCAGAAAUCACUGCAGCACUUGAGAACAUGAGACAAGCCAACCUUGAUGACAUGAUGCCUCUUCUACAUGUGAGACAAACACUGAGCAGGUCAGAGGUUUUCACCAUUGUUCAUCAUAAUACAGAGGGACUGCCAGCUCACAUUAAUGACAUCAAGAGUCACCAUGAAUUGUGUCUAGCAGAUGUUUUGUGCCUAACAGAAACACACCUGCGGGGCUCUUUUGUCGCAGAGAGUCUCCAUUUGGAAAAUUACAAUUUGUUCAAACGCAACAGACACCUGUCCUACACAAACUUUCCCCAGAUGGCAAACAGAAAUGGUGGUGGAGUUGCUGUUUAUGUGAAAAGUGACAUUCAAGUGCAUGAAAAACAGUACAUCCAUAAUGUAACUGACCUUGAAUUUCUGGCUUUAAAGGUUGAAGCACCAGUCAGUGCUCUAAUUGCAGUUGUGUACAGACCUCCAGACUACACUCUGAGGCCAUUCCUGAAAAACCUGGUGUUUCCCUCUGUGAUCCAUCCCCUUCAGAGCUGAGACACUCAGGACUGAACAGACUGCACAGUUUCUGUGACCGAGCCUCCAAAACACCUUCUUUGAAACCACACAUGAUAGAAGGGCUUUAUAUUUGCAGCAGCACUACUAAAGUCGGCAGGAAUGUUGCUGCAGGAAAACAUCCCUGAAGAUCACCAUCAUUGUCAGACUGACUGUGCCUCCUCUGUGCAGUGUCAAGAUCCUCCCUAAAUGAGUGUGUAAGUUCAUUAUUUUAUUCCCUAUGACAAGACAAGUAUCACUGAUAUUUACAUUUACAACUACAUAUGUUCCUGUUUUCUGCUCCUCAGCUAUCCUGCUUCUGUGCUGCUUGCCACACAUCAAACACUGGCCGGAUGACAGGGAGGAUCCACUCUGAAGUCACUGGACAUGAUGAGGAUCAUAUGGGACUUUAUAGUUUCACAGAAAUGUUGUGCUCUUUGAUUACAGGUUUUAAAUGGACAUAAUGACUGCCUCUCUCUGAUCUGACAGGCUAAAGGAUUGUUUUCAUUGUUAGUGCUCUGUACAGUGUAUGCUUAUUUAAUAUUUCAUCACAGAGCAAACCUUUAUUUAUUUAACAUAUUUUUAUUUUGUUUUAAUGUUGAAUUAACUGUGGGGAUUUUUUUAAGUGGGCACUCGGGAUGUCAUAUGACCAGAAAUGUGGUAACUGGAAUUCAACAGUAUGUAAAGAAAGAAUCUGCUAAGAACAUAACACACACAAAAACCCCCAAGAGAACUCAAAUUCGUUCCAUGUAAUCCAAUCUAAAACAUUUUAAACUGCUGAACAGCAACACAAACAGUGUUAAAGAAACAGUGUUAACAGAAUAAUUAUGAUGAGUUUGUACCAAAGUUUCAGGUCACAUGGCACACCUAGUGUGUAGUGUGGGGUAUCAGCUGGUAAGUAUAGGUUUUUUCAUAUUUGUGUCCUUAGAGUUUAGAUAGAUAAAGCCUUGUGUAUAAUAAUUAGUCAUAACCACAACUCAAAGUCAGGGAUUAACUAAAUUUGGGACUUUGUGUCUGAGCCCAGGUUAAAACACAGUGUAAAAAAGCAUUUAGUGGCAUGGCUGAACAAUGCUGUAAACUAAUGAUACUUAUUUAUCCAUGUUCACAAAAAGGACUAAUGUGUUCAUUUGAUUAUUUGUAUGUGUUAAACUGUGUCACCACCUUAGGCUUUCGUUUGAGUUCACUCAAAAAUCUCUAUACAGUUCUCUUUUACCACUGUGUGGACUCUGUUUACAAUAAAACAUAAAAAAGAAUGAGUAAUAAAAAGAUGUGUAGACAGAUCAGUAGAUUCAGUAGACCAAUAUUAGCAGCUGUUCAGCCAUGUUCUACGAAACAAACACAAUUUAAAGGUUCAGGAUUGUGGUUUUAAAAGUUGAAUUUUCAUGUAUUUCAUAUGUUGCUUAUUAUUUUUAUUUGGUUAUUUAAUUUAGUUAUUUUUAUUUAUUCUCCUGU